AGAACGAACGCUGGCGGCAGGCUUAACACAUGCAAGUCGAACGCCCCGCAAGGGGAGUGGCAGACGGGUGAGUAACGCGUGGGAAUCUACCUAGUUCUACGGAACAACUGAGGGAAACUUCAGCUAAUACCGUAUACGCCCUACGGGGGAAAGAUUUAUCGGAAUUAGAUGAGCCCGCGUAAGAUUAGCUAGUUGGUGGGGUAAUGGCCUACCAAGGCGACGAUCUCUAGCUGGUCUGAGAGGAUGAUCAGCCACACUGGGACUGAGACACGGCCCAGACUCCUACGGGAGGCAGCAGUGGGGAAUAUUGGACAAUGGGCGCAAGCCUGAUCCAGCCAUGCCGCGUGAGUGAUGAAGGCCUUAGGGUUGUAAAGCUCUUCAGUGGGAAGAUAAUGACGUACCCACAGAAGAAGCCCGACUAACGUUCGCGCCAGCAGCCGC
This 441-nucleotide ribosomal RNA is filed under the name uncultured soil bacterium. RNAcentral's name for it is "bacterial SSU rRNA". It matches the Rfam family "Bacterial small subunit ribosomal RNA", at positions 26 to 518 of the family's 1533-position model. The record is from RNAcentral.